AGUGAACGCUGGCGGUAGGCCUAACACAUGCAAGUCGAACGGCAGCACAGUAAGAGCUUGCUCUUACGGGUGGCGAGUGGCGGAAGGGUGAGGAAUACAUCGGAAUCUACUUUUUCGCGGGGGAUAACGUAGGGAAACUUACGCUAAUACCGCAUACGACCUACGGGUGAAAGCAGGGGAUCUUCGGACCUUGCGCGAUUGAAUGAGCCGAUGUCGGAUUAGCUAGUUGGCGGGGUAAAGGCCCACCAAGGCGACGAUCCGUAGCUGGUCUGAGAGGAUGAUCAGCCACACUGUAACUGAGACACGGUCCAGACUCCUACGGGAGGCAGCAGUGGGGAAUAUUGGACAAUGGGCGCAAGCCUGAUCCAGCCAUACCGCGUGGGUGAAGAAGGCCUUCGGGUUGUAAAGCCCUUUUGUUGGGAAAGAAAAGCAGCAGGUUAAUACCCCGCUGUUCUGACGGUACCCAAAGAAUAAGCACCGGCUAACUUCGUG
Molecule: ribosomal RNA, 492 nt
Filed under: uncultured bacterium
Lineage: Bacteria
Description: partial 16S ribosomal RNA
Rfam family: Bacterial small subunit ribosomal RNA
Source: RNAcentral